Salvelinus sp. IW2-2015 is the source of this 1172-nucleotide non-coding RNA. The record is from RefSeq and is a predicted model, not a curated record. Lineage: Eukaryota; Metazoa; Chordata; Actinopteri; Salmoniformes; Salmonidae.
UUCUAUCUCCUUUCUCUUUCCAAAGUUCUGCUCUGUUCUGUUCUUACCCUUUGAAGACGUUCCCCUCUCUGUGGAUAUUGCCGAAGAAACUCCAAUUGACUUUACUUAUUUUAGCGUGAGCCGAUAGAUAGUGAAUACUUUUCUUCUGUAGAUGAUUGGAGAGUUGUGAAGGCCAGGUCUUAGCAUAUAAGAUAGAUAGUGAAUACUUUUCUUCUGUAGAUGAUUGGAGAGUUGUGAAGGCCAGGUCUUAGCAUAUAAGUGCAACCCCCAUGUGUUUCACUGAAAAUGCACGAUAAGAAAUGUAUCAACUUUGGCAACUAUUCUGAAUGUUUUUUUGAAGGUGGCUAAGAUAGAUUGCGGUUCUGUGAUUCUGAAGGUUAAAACUGGUGAUGGAGGUUAUAAAUUAUGAUGGAGGUUAUAACUAAUGGUGGAAGUUAUAACUAAUGUUGGAGGUUAUAACUGGUGAAGGAGUUUAUAACUGGUGAUGGAGGUUAUAACUGGUGAUGGAGGUUAUAAAUUAGGAUGGAGGUUAUAACUUGUGAUAGAGGUUAUAAAUUAUGAUGGAGGUUAUAAUGCAUUAUGUGUAAAAAUGCAUAUUGGCUCAAUGCAUGCUAUGUCUGUUUGCAGAGAUAGCAUUGGAUGAAAUAUUCAUUGUGUGUUUGCAGAGCAGAGCAGGCAUAUUCAUAGCAUUACCCAACCAGUCCCUCUAUAUUCAUCUCACUGCAACAAGAUAAAUCAGUUAUUUAGCAUGCAACGCUGGAUAGAAAUGCAUUUACUGGUGAUGCAAUGCAACCCUACAGAGUAAGACUUCUUUAACCUGUUUACCCUACAGCAGUGGGGGAGGUUUGUGUGGGCCUGGAAAAUUACCGUAUAUGAAUUGAAGUUAUCACAUAAUAUAUGUAUAUAUGAGUUCCAACUGGAGGCAGGCCCCAUUUUCUCAUCAUGGCAGGUUUGCUUGCUACAGUAUCUGGUCAGCUUUAUUACAUUGGAAUACAUGUCACUGUGUGCGUGUCACAAUGAACAUAUACAAUUGAUGUAUGUAUGUAUGUUAGGGAUGUACAGUAUGCAGGUAGUAGGUUAGAGAGAGGAAACAUUAGGUUUACAUCUCAACCUCUUUCUGAGCAAACCUGUGUUUCAUAGUGCAGUGAGAGUGAACUUUCAGUGUGUGUGUG